RNAcentral lists this long non-coding RNA (590 nucleotides) under Mytilus galloprovincialis (Mediterranean mussel). The record is from RNAcentral. Lineage: Eukaryota; Metazoa; Mollusca; Bivalvia; Mytilida; Mytilidae.
GUUAUGCCCGCGUCACACUGUCCCGAUUUUUAUAUACGAUAGACACCCGAAUGCGAAAAUUGUAAGUUCGUACGAAGUUGGUCCCGAUCUCGUUAAAAUACCAAAAAAGUGACCGAAGCAAGUACGAUUAAUAACGAAGUCUAUACGAUGGUGCCGAAAUUAUAUACGAUAGCAAAAGAUGGACAUACAAAGGUUAACCGAAGACGGGUAUUUAAGCUUCAUAUCUCAGACGAAGCCUACACGAUGGGUCACGAUGGCUACACGAUGGAUUACGAAGGCUACACGAUGGAUUACGAUGAUGGCGCGAUGGCCAUACGAUGUCUAAAAGACGUCGUGUACAGCUUACGAUGUAUUUAAAUUAUAUGCCGAAAGGCAUCCCGCGUUUUAAAUUGUUUGAUCAAUAUUGAAUAUAUAUUAUAUUGUACAUUUAUGUGUUGCGUGUAGAUAAAAUUGUUAUGGACACUCUAGAACCAAAAUGCUCAAAACUUGGUAUGGUGUUACUCGUUAAGAAUAUCUUAAGCGCUAUUGACUUUAAAGUUCAAAGGUCAAGGUCACAGUGGCAGUUGUAAUACAAGGCAAUAUCACCCUUG